Molecule: ribosomal RNA, 1241 nt
Filed under: metagenome
Description: bacterial LSU rRNA
Rfam family: Bacterial large subunit ribosomal RNA
Source: RNAcentral
UGAAUACGAGGCACUAAGGUGCUGAAGUAGUGUAUGUCAUACUUCCAAGAAAAGCUUGCACUAUCGUAAGAUAAAAAUGCCUGUACCAUAACCGACACAGGUGGGUAGGUAGAGUAUACUAAGGGGCGCGAGAUAACUCUCUCUAAGGAACUCGGCAAAAUAACUCCGUAACUUCGGGAGAAGGAGUGCCUUAUUCUAUAAGGUUGCAAUAACAAGAUCCAAGCAACUGUUUAUCAAAAACACAGGUCUCCGCUAAGUCGUAAGACGAUGUAUGGGGGCUGACGCCUGCCCAGUGCCAGAAGAUUAAAGAAGUCGGUUAGCAAUUGCGAAGCUGGUAACUGAAGCCCUGGUGAACGGCGGCCGUAACUAUAACGGUCCUAAGGUAGCGAAAUUCCUUGUCGGGUAAGUUCCGACCCGCACGAAAGGCGUAAUGAUUUGGAUACUGUCUCGGAGAGGGACUCGGUGAAAUAGACUUGUCUGUGAAGAUGCGGACUACCUGCACCAGGACAGAAAGACCCUAUGAAGCUUUACUGUAACUUGAAAUUGAAAUUGGACUUUAUUCGCGCAGUAUAGGUGGGAGGCGUUGAUUAUAAUCUUGUGGGAUUAUUGGAGCCAUUAGUGAGAUACCACUCUUGUAAUGUUAGAUUUCUAACUUUGAAUCAUGAUCUGGUCAAAGAACAGUUUCAGGCGGGCAGUUUGACUGGGGCGGUCGCCUCCUAAAUGGUAACGGAGGCGUACAAAGGUUUCCUCUGAACGGGUAGAAAUCGUAUCUAGAGUGUAAAGGCAUAAGGAAGCUUGACUGUGAGACCUACAAGUCUAGCAGGGACGAAAGUCGGUCUUAGUGAUCUGACGGUACUGAGUGGAAAGGCCGUCACUCAACGGAUAAAAGUUACUCUAGGAUAACAGGCUGAUCUCCCCCAAGAGUUCACAUCGACGGGGAGGUUUGGCACCUCGAUGUCGGCUCAUCGCAUCCUGGGGCGGUAGUACGUCCCAAGGGUUGGGCUGUUCGCCCAUGAAAGCGGUACGCGAGCUGGGUUCAGAACGUCGUGAGACAGUUCGGUCCAUAUCCGGUGUAGGCGUUAGAAUAUUGAGAGGAGCCCUUUUUAGUACGAGAGGACCGAGAAGGACAUACCUCUGGUGUACCAGUUAUCGUGCCAACGGUAAACGCUGGGUAGCUAUGUAUGGAGUGGAUAACCGCUGAAAGCAUCUAAGUGGGAAGCCCACCUCAAGAUAAGUAUUCU